AGAGUUUGAUCAUGGCUCAGGAUGAACGCUAGCGGGAGGCCUAACACAUGCAAGCCGAGCGGUAGAGAUUCUUCGGAAUCUUGAGAGCGGCGUACGGGUGCGGAACACGUGUGCAACCUACCUUUAUCUGGAGGAUAGCCUUUCGAAAGGAAGAUUAAUACUCCAUAAUAUAUUGAUUGGCAUCAAUUGAUAUCGAAAGCUCCGGCGGAUAGAGAUGGGCACGCGCAAGAUUAGUUAGUUGGUGAGGUAACGGCUCACCAAGACGAUGAUCUUUAGGGGCCUGAGAGGGUGAUCCCCCACACUGGUACUGAGACACGGACCAGACUCCUACGGGAGGCAGCAGUGAGGAAUAUUGGUCAAUGGGUGCAAGCCUGAACCAGCCAUCCCGCGUGAAGGACGACUGCCCUAUGGGUUGUAAACUUCUUUUGUAUAGGGAUAAACCUACCCUCGUGAGGGUAGCUGAAGGUACUAUACGAAUAAGCACCGGCUAACUCCGUG
This 498-nucleotide ribosomal RNA is filed under the name uncultured bacterium. RNAcentral's name for it is "bacterial SSU rRNA". It matches the Rfam family "Bacterial small subunit ribosomal RNA", at positions 8 to 507 of the family's 1533-position model. The record is from RNAcentral.